RNAcentral lists this ribosomal RNA (449 nucleotides) under uncultured bacterium. RNAcentral describes it as "partial 16S ribosomal RNA". It matches the Rfam family "Bacterial small subunit ribosomal RNA", at positions 29 to 523 of the family's 1533-position model. The record is from RNAcentral.
AGCGAACGCUGGCGGCAGGCCUAAUACAUGCAAGUCGAACGAUCACUUCGGUGGUAGUGGCGCACGGGUGCGUAACGCGUGGGAAUCUGCCCUUGGGUUCGGAAUAACGUCGGGAAACUGACGCUAAUACCGGGUGAUGACGUAAGUCCAAAGAUUUAUCGCCCAGGGAUGAGCCCGCGUAGGAUUAGCUAGUUGGUGGGGUAAAGGCCUACCAAGGCGACGAUCCUUAGCUGGUCUGAGAGGAUGAUCAGCCACACUGGGACUGGGACACGGCCCAGACUCCUACGGGAGGCAGCAGUAGGGAAUAUUGGACAAUGGGGGCAACCCUGAUCCAGCAAUGCCGCGUGAGUGAUGAAGGCCUUAGGGUUGUAAAGCUCUUUUACCCGGGAUGAUAAUGACAGUACCGGGAGAAUAAGCCCCGGCUAACUCCGUGCCAGCCGCCGCCGUAA